Molecule: long non-coding RNA, 791 nt
Organism: Folsomia candida
Lineage: Eukaryota; Metazoa; Arthropoda; Collembola; Entomobryomorpha; Isotomidae
Exons: 2
Source: RefSeq, a predicted model, not a curated record
AUAAAUUAUUCCAUAUUUUGUUGGCUUUUUGGUGGACUAUUCAGUAAAAGAAUUGACUUUUGGUGGGACACGCAGAUAAGCGAAGCUUAUCUCCGAGGGAGACUAACAAGAGCUCACUUCCUUCAGAAAUUUCACCAGUUUUGCACAUUUCCAAAUUUCCACCAAAGAUUCACACAUUGAGAAGAACGGCGCAAGAUAAGGGAAGUUGGACACUGCGAUUGGAAAUUGCGAUUUGAGUAGGGAAAAAUUUUUUUACUCUGCAUCCCGAACUCACACGUUACACCCAACUUUUAAGGAGGAGUCGUUGAGAAAGGGGUCGAUGGAUUCUAGUGGAGGAAGUUCCGAACAGUACGAGACGCUGGACGGGAUGGAGGUCACCCAGAAGUUGCUCGAAGGACAGAAAGCUCUCGUCGUCACAACGGAGAAAGUCGACAAAGGGGAAAGUUUUCAAGUGAACGGACGACUUCUUGAUCGACAGACUCAUUCCAUGCAACCAUGUCCAACAGCACGUGACGAUGACCACGUGUCCUCCUCUUCACCCAACAACAGAUCAUCAAAAGCCAAAGAGUUAGCCCGAAAAGGGAAUGAACGUGGUCGUCGCGUCGUGGGGAAAUCUUCCGAUGCAAAACCUGGCUUCGUGCCUUCACCAACAGAACCUGUGUUCGCCUCCACGUCCGCACCCACCUCAACCGCGACGAGCUGGAGCGGUCCUCACUUUUCCAUGAGAAAUGUCCCCACUGCCAAAAAGUGUUCUUUCUCCGUCAGCAAUUUAUCGACCACGUGAAUGUGCA